RNAcentral lists this ribosomal RNA (439 nucleotides) under Vibrio aestuarianus. Its description in RNAcentral is "bacterial SSU rRNA". It matches the Rfam family "Bacterial small subunit ribosomal RNA", at positions 882 to 1320 of the family's 1533-position model. The record is from RNAcentral. Lineage: Bacteria; Pseudomonadati; Pseudomonadota; Gammaproteobacteria; Vibrionales; Vibrionaceae.
ACGGUCGCAAGAUUAAAACUCAAAUGAAUUGACGGGGGCCCGCACAAGCGGUGGAGCAUGUGGUUUAAUUCGAUGCAACGCGAAGAACCUUACCUACUCUUGACAUCCAGAGAAUCCAGCGGAGACGCAGGAGUGCCUUCGGGAGCUCUGAGACAGGUGCUGCAUGGCUGUCGUCAGCUCGUGUUGUGAAAUGUUGGGUUAAGUCCCGCAACGAGCGCAACCCUUAUCCUUGUUUGCCAGCGAGUAAUGUCGGGAACUCCAGGGAGACUGCCGGUGAUAAACCGGAGGAAGGUGGGGACGACGUCAAGUCAUCAUGGCCCUUACGAGUAGGGCUACACACGUGCUACAAUGGCGCAUACAGAGGGCAGCCAACUUGCGAAAGUGAGCGAAUCCCAAAAAGUGCGUCGUAGUCCGGAUUGGAGUCUGCAACUCGACUCCA